UACGGGGGGGGCAAGCGUUGUUCGGAAUUACUGGGCGUAAAGGGCUCGUAGGCGGCCAACUAAGUCGGACGUGAAAUCCCCAGGCUCAACCUGGGAACUGCGUCCGAUACUGGAUGGCUUGAAUCCGGGAGAGGGAUGCAGAAUUCCAGGUGUAGCGGUGAAAUGCGUAGAUAUCGGGAGGAACACCGGUGGCGAAGGCGGUUCUCUGGGCCUGACCUGACGCUGAGGAGCGAAAGCGUGGGGAGCGAACAGG
RNAcentral lists this ribosomal RNA (253 nucleotides) under uncultured bacterium. RNAcentral describes it as "partial 16S ribosomal RNA". It matches the Rfam family "Bacterial small subunit ribosomal RNA", at positions 524 to 776 of the family's 1533-position model. The record is from RNAcentral.